GCAGGUGUAGUACAGCGGUUAGUAUGCGGCCUUGCCAAGGCUGAGACGGGAGUUCGAUUCUCCUCACUUGCUCCA
This 75-nucleotide transfer RNA is filed under the name Mollicutes bacterium. Its description in RNAcentral is "tRNA-Gly". It matches the Rfam family "tRNA". From Rfam's summary of the family: Transfer RNA (tRNA) molecules are approximately 80 nucleotides in length. The record is from RNAcentral. Lineage: Bacteria; Bacillati; Mycoplasmatota; Mollicutes.